GACGAACGCUGGCGGCGUGCUUAACACAUGCAAGUCGAACGGAAAGGACAUCGAUAUGUGGGUUGCUAGAGUGGCGAACGGGUGCGUAAGAGGGGAAUACCUUGCCCUUCACCUUGGCAUAAGUUCAGGACCCUGGGACUAUUAGCCGAAUGGCCAAUGUGCUGCCAGGUAGGCGUUGGAAAGGUUCGGCUGAUGUGGAUGGGCUCGGGGGUUAUCAGUUUGUUGGUGGGGUAGUGGCUUAACAGGGCUUUGAAGGGUAACGGGCCUCAGAGGGGGACCGGCCACAUGGGGACUGAGAUACGGGCCAGACUCCUACGGGAGGCAGCAGUGGGGAAGAUUGCACAAUGGGCGGAAGUCGGAUGCAGCAACGCCGCGUGCUGGAUGACAGCCUUCUGUUUGUAGACCGUAUACGCCUGUGACGGAGCGUGAGUGACGGUAAUGGGUAAAGAAGCACCGGCUAACUACGUG
This 468-nucleotide ribosomal RNA is filed under the name uncultured bacterium. RNAcentral's name for it is "partial 16S ribosomal RNA". It matches the Rfam family "Bacterial small subunit ribosomal RNA", at positions 28 to 507 of the family's 1533-position model. The record is from RNAcentral.